UCCCAGGUAGCUCAGUGGGUAAAGAGUCCUCCUGCAACACAGGAGACCCAGGUUCGAUCCCUGGUUUGGGAA
Molecule: transfer RNA, 72 nt
Filed under: Bos taurus (domestic cattle)
Lineage: Eukaryota; Metazoa; Chordata; Mammalia; Artiodactyla; Bovidae
Also listed under: 2 other names
Rfam family: tRNA
About the family: Transfer RNA (tRNA) molecules are approximately 80 nucleotides in length. Their secondary structure includes four short double-helical elements and three loops (D, anti-codon, and T loops).
Source: Rfam by way of RNAcentral